GUUAACUCCUACAUGUGCUAAUCUACCAUGCCAUAAAUUAAAUGAAUCAGUAACAUACGCAAAAGAUUUAAUUUUAUUUGACUUGUCUUCAAUAGUACAUAGUUUGACCAUUUUUAGGUGGAAUAGUCAUUUCCAACAAAGUACCCAGUAUAUGUUAGUACAAGCUAUCCAGAUUAAAAAAACAGAUUUAAUCCCAGGUUUUCGCAAAUUACACCACUUGCUAAGUUUCUAUUCAUUUUCGGUACAUACAAGACAUUUGUCAAAGUGAUCUUCUUUCCCGAAGUGAAAAUGAGUUCAAUAUUUUCUUUGCCAAUCAUUUUUUAUCUUUCUUCAUUUCCCAUUUGUAUUUCCUGAUUGUCUUCAAUGUCAUGAUAAGUUUUGAAGAGAAACUUAUCAUAACAUACAUGAAUUGUAGAGCAUGUAUCGAACCACCAACCCGAAAUUUUGCCUUGGAUUUCAUUAAUUUCGCUCAUCGUGGUGAUAAUCUCAUCAGCAUAGUUCACUUGUCCUUCCUUCUUUUGUUGUUUCAUAUGCCUGCAAUCUUUAACAAAGUGUCCCGAUUUUCCCACAAACAUAGUAAGGUCCUUUGGCUUUAUUUUCAAACUUCCCUUGAUCCUUCCUAGGACCAAGAAGUUUCCCUUUCCUUUUGAAUUUGUUGGAGUUAUCCACAUUGUCCAUGGUAUUAGUUUUCGAAGAGCCAUCAUAAGAGUUUUCAAUCUUAUCUCUUGCCCUUGAUUCUUCCUCAAUACGAAGAUGUUUAUGUAUGUUUUCCAAAGAAAAGUCUUUCGGAUUGUGAAGAAUCUUCUUCCUAUAUCAUUUCCAUGAACCGGGGAGUUUAGCAAUAAUUGCUCCCACUUGAAAAGUUUCGAGAAGUUCAAUUUUCACGUCAUUCAGUUUGUUUACAAUUAUUUGUACUUGAGGCAAUAAGGGUACAUUAUUUAAGAAUUUGAAAUCAAAAUAUUUAGAUAUUAAGGACUUUUUGGUACCUUCUUCCUCGGCUUUAUAUUUGCUUUUUAGCGCAUACUAGAUUUCUUUUGCUGUGUGGUGUUGGUGUAGGGAUCAUAGAAACAAUUGGACAGCGCAUUUAGGAUAUGAACACGGCAUAUCAAUUCAUCCUCUUCCCGUUUCUUCCUUUCUGCGUGAAUUUUUUCGGUGUCCUUGUCACUUGCAUCAGAAAUAUGCUCCAAUUUUGGAUCAAGCACGUAGAAGAUUUUUAAGGCCAUUAAAAGGAACUUGAGUUUAUCUUGCCAUCUAGUAAAAUUUGCACCAUCGAAUCUGUCCAAACGCACUAGGUCUUGAUUUAUCAUUUUGAUGGUGGCAAGUUUAGAUUCCGUCUCCAUCGCAGUAAUAAUAAUCAACUAACGUUUGAGUUUGUUAGAAAAUUUAAGGCAAUAGAAAAGGAAAAUUGAAACACAACAAAGGGAAGAAUAUAGAAAUAAUCAAUAAAAGGCUUGAAUACGAAAUUAAUCUCGCUGUCCUCAAAUGUUAUUUGCCUCAUUUCCA
This 1503-nucleotide long non-coding RNA is filed under the name Olea europaea subsp. europaea. The record is from RNAcentral. Lineage: Eukaryota; Viridiplantae; Streptophyta; Magnoliopsida; Lamiales; Oleaceae.